This 433-nucleotide ribosomal RNA is filed under the name uncultured bacterium. RNAcentral describes it as "partial 16S ribosomal RNA". It matches the Rfam family "Bacterial small subunit ribosomal RNA", at positions 29 to 507 of the family's 1533-position model. The record is from RNAcentral.
AGCGAACGCUGGCGGCAGGCCUAACACAUGCAAGUCGAACGGACCCUUCGGGGUUAGUGGCGGACGGGUGAGUAACACGUGGGAACGUGCCUUUAGGUUCGGAAUAGCUCCUGGAAACGGGUGGUAAUGCCGAAUGUGCCCUUCGGGGGAAAGAUUUAUCGCCUUUAGAGCGGCCCGCGUCUGAUUAGCUAGUUGGUGAGGUAACGGCUCACCAAGGCGACGAUCAGUAGCUGGUCUGAGAGGAUGACCAGCCACACUGGGACUGAGACACGGCCCAGACUCCUACGGGAGGCAGCAGUGGGGAAUGUUGCGCAAUGGGCGAAAGCCUGACGCAGCCAUGCCGCGUGAAUGAUGAAGGUCUUAGGAUUGUAAAAUUCUUUCACCGGGGACGAUAAUGACGGUACCCGGAGAAGAAGCCCCGGCUAACUUCGUG